Molecule: long non-coding RNA, 214 nt
Filed under: Mytilus galloprovincialis (Mediterranean mussel)
Lineage: Eukaryota; Metazoa; Mollusca; Bivalvia; Mytilida; Mytilidae
Source: RNAcentral
CUGUUAUGUGAUAUUUACUACAAAUUUUGUUUGCAAUGUUUUUUUUUGUCAAGUUUUUGUAUUGUUACUGAUUAUUAACUUCUAUUUAGAACAUGUUGAGGAAAGGGGGUAUUUAAAACUUUUAUAUUGAUCUCACUUAUAAGUCUAUUUGGAGCAUUCUCAAUAAGAUGGUUUAUACUUUUGUUGGCAAUAAAAGUUAAUCGUGAAAACUGCU